Molecule: ribosomal RNA, 665 nt
Filed under: Veillonella sp. sp2-iso-ab24x3
Lineage: Bacteria; Bacillati; Bacillota; Negativicutes; Veillonellales; Veillonellaceae
Description: bacterial SSU rRNA
Rfam family: Bacterial small subunit ribosomal RNA
Source: RNAcentral
GCUUGCUUCUAUCAAUCUUAGUGGCGAACGGGUGAGUAACGCGUAAUCAACCUGCCCUUCAGAGGGGGACAACAGUUGGAAACGACUGCUAAUACCGCAUACGAUCCAAUCUCGGCAUCGAGGAUGGAUGAAAGGUGGCCUCUAUUUAUAAGCUAUCACUGAAGGAGGGGAUUGCGUCUGAUUAGCUAGUUGGAGGGGUAACGGCCCACCAAGGCAAUGAUCAGUAGCCGGUCUGAGAGGAUGAACGGCCACAUUGGGACUGAGACACGGCCCAGACUCCUACGGGAGGCAGCAGUGGGGAAUCUUCCGCAAUGGACGAAAGUCUGACGGAGCAACGCCGCGUGAGUGAUGACGGCCUUCGGGUUGUAAAGCUCUGUUAAUCGGGACGAAAGGUCCUCUUGCGAAUAGUUAGAGGAAUUGACGGUACCGGAAUAGAAAGCCACGGCUAACUACGUGCCAGCAGCCGCGGUAAUACGUAGGUGGCAAGCGUUGUCCGGAAUUAUUGGGCGUAAAGCGCGCGCAGGCGGAUCAGUCAGUCUGUCUUAAAAGUUCGGGGCUUAACCCCGUGAUGGGAUGGAAACUGCUGAUCUAGAGUAUCGGAGAGGAAAGUGGAAUUCCUAGUGUAGCGGUGAAAUGCGUAGAUAUUAGGAAGAACACCAGUGGCG